This is a long non-coding RNA of Folsomia candida, 440 nucleotides long. RefSeq lists it as uncharacterized. Lineage: Eukaryota; Metazoa; Arthropoda; Collembola; Entomobryomorpha; Isotomidae. The transcript is spliced from 2 exons. The record is from RefSeq and is a predicted model, not a curated record.
GUUUCUGCUCCUCAAGUUUAGUAAUUGCGAUGCUAUGCUAAUGUUCGAAAAUUUAGAAAACGGAGAUUUCGGAGAGAGACCGACUCUUUAGUCCUGCUGAAAAUGAAAACCCACAGCGUUUCUCUCGCUGAGUGAAUGACCUCUGUCUGACCGUCAGAUUUCCUCACUCUCAAAAUGAAAACAAGCCCUAAUUUUUCUACUUCGAUUUCUGAAUUGUAACAAAGUGAUUAACUUUAUUUCGAAAAUUGGGUUAUCGGUAUUUUCAUGAUAAGCAAUAAAAUGUGUGGGAGUGGUGGUAAAAAUAUAUGUAUGUAUGACAAAUAGUAUUUGUCAUGAUAUUGUUUAAAGUUAAAGUUUAAAGUUUGUUAUAAAGUAUCAUUUAAUGUUGAUUAGUCGAUUCAGAACACUUUCGACGUUAUAAUUAAAAUUAUUUUACUAGC